UAGACCUAGUCUGUUCAUUAUAUACAUAUACAUGAUGUAUUGUUACACCAUGUAGGAGCAGUAUAGACCUAGUCUGUUCAUUAAAUACAUCUACAUGAUGUAUUGUUACACCAUGUAGGAGCAGUAUAGACCGACAGUAGCUGGCUACUUAUUUAGAUUUAGUUUGACCUAAUGAAACUGCCUUAAAUGUGCUGUAGCAAAAUAAAAUGUAUUCGCACUAAUCAAUCAACACAUUCCUGUCUUUGUAUGUCUCAAUAUAAUAGUAUUAUUUAAUGAAAUCCAUUUAAAAUAAUAUUUUCCUCAACUGCGUUUCCCACUCCAGUCAGCAGACGGCGAUUUGCGUCGUUCUGGCGAUGCUGCUAUCGUGACGUAUAAUCUAGUGGACGGGUCUUCAAAAACAACAAGUCAACCAUCUCGGUAGCUUGCUAGCCAACGUAGCCGAAAGAUUCAAGCUGUUUUUACGCUUUCGGUGUAUAUUAGCUGCUGUGUUUUAGACACACUUCUAUCGUAUCUACUUGUUAACCUAUUUAAUUUAAUAUGACGUUAUUUUUUAUUAGUCAGAUAUAGUAGCUGGCUGGUUAAAUUAGCACUAGCUUAGUUGCUAAUGAUAGCUAGCUAGCUAACAUCCCCGAACAUGAGGUCAGUAAGCUUCUCCCCUCCUGCUAAAGAAGAGUUCUGCUGGACGGAGAAAGAAGCUCUGGAGCUGAACAUUGUCGUGAAAGAGGAGAAGGAAGAAGAGGAUGUCACAGUUAAAAAAUAAAUUGAGGGUGAGGCUGUUACAGUGAAAGAGGAAGAAGUGUUCACAGUGAAAGAGGAGGAUGAGAAAGAGGAUGCCGUUUUUGACGUGAAGAAGGAAGGGGAGAUUUCUGUCACAUUGAAAGAUGAAGAGGUGGAGGUAGGAGAUCUGAUUUACAUCAGACAGAGACGUGACUAUUGUGGAUCCUCUGGGGAGCCUCAACAACAUCAUGAAGCUGACGAGGCAGAGAAGAGUCCCUCCCGAUCAGAACACCUCAUGAAACACCAGAGGAGACCCACAGGGAAGAAAUCUCACUGCUGCUCUGACUGUGGGAAAGGUUGCAAAUCUUCAUCAGAACUUAAAAUACAUCAGCGAGUACACACAGGAGAGAAAUCUCACCACUGUUUUGAUUGUGGGAAGAGUUACUUAAGAUCAGAAUCACUAAAAGUACACUUGAGAAUUCACACUGGAGAGAAACCUUAUAGCUGUGAUCAAUGUGGGAAGAGUUUCUCACUCAAGCUGCCUUAUAGUACAUCUGAGAGCACACACCAGAGAGAAACCUUACCACUGCUCUGGCUGCGGAAAGCGUUUUAUUAGUUCAACAGAUUUAAAAUCACACCAGAAAAUACACAGAGUAGAGAAACCUUUUAACUGUACUCAAUGUGGGAAGAGGUUUAAUCACUCAAGCUGGCUGAUAGUACAUCUGAGAGCACACACAGGAGUGAAAUCUUAUAGCUGUAGUCAAUGUGGGAAGAGUUUCUCAGUCAAGCAGCCUGGUAUCACACCAGAGAACACACACAGGAGGGAAAUCUCAUAGCUGUGAUCAAUGUGGGAAGAGAUUUGUUACAUCUAGCCAUCUGACUAUACACCAGAGAACACACACAGGAGAGAAAUCUUAUAGCUGUAGUCAAUGUGGGAAGAGUUUCUCAGUCAAGCAGCCUGGUAUCACACCAGAGAACACACACAGGAGGGAAAUCUCAUAGCUGUGAUCAAUGUCACAAGAAAUACUCUGUUAAAAGAUCUCUGAUCAAACAUCAGAAAAUACAUACAUGAAGUAGUUGUUUCAUGAUAUCAAUGAAAUGUCACAAUGUAGAAUAUUUGAAUGAUGUCACAAUGUAGAAUGUUUUAACAUUGUAGUAGGAAUACAAAGGAUUUGAAUUUGUUAAAAGUCCAUAUUGAUACAGAAACACUAAACCAUGAUUUAGAUGUAUUAAGAACAAGUUGAUUGACAAAGUCAUGAAAAAUGGAAUAAACCACAUUUUGGCUCUGAUAAAAGAUAUGGCUCUGGGGUCAAAAUGAUCCAUGUCAGAACUAUGGUUCAAUGUAAAUAUGUAGUGGGCCUAAAGUUUGUUUUAAAUUAUCACUCAUUAAACACGAAUCAAUCAACACAUGCUUCUCUUUGAACGACUUAAUAUAAUAUUACACUUUUAUGAAAUAAAUGAAAAUAAACUUUUGGUUCCUCAACUGCGUUGCCCACUCCAGUCAGCAGAAAGAGACGCAGCAGAAGUGCCUCUUUUUAUAUUUGAUUUGAUUUAUAUAUUUUUUUAUUCAAAAUGCAGAUCUACAAUUUACAUUGUUACAUCAUACAAAACAGAACACAGGUAUUAACGAGAAAAUACUAAAACAGACAAAACAUAUAAAUAAUUAACUAUUCUAGUGUAGUUGUAAUCACUCUGAAAAAAUCUAUAAUGAUUCAGGAAGAUGUUAUUGUUGUUGUUAUUCACUAGGAUUAAUGUUUUAAUAAAAUAGUUACAUUCAAUCAGAAAAAAUGUGUAAUUCUGGUAGAGAAUCUUGGAAUUUUUGUUUGUGUAUAAAGUAUUUGGCAACAAGAAUAAAAAAAAUUAACAAUCA
Molecule: long non-coding RNA, 2587 nt
Organism: Salvelinus fontinalis (brook trout)
Lineage: Eukaryota; Metazoa; Chordata; Actinopteri; Salmoniformes; Salmonidae
Exons: 2
Source: RefSeq, a predicted model, not a curated record